AUAAACCCAAAUUGGCAGAGAGGUGGGGAGCGCAGCCAUGCAAUUUUAUCACAGCCUGAUCCUCUCCAGGGAUCUAUAAAACAGCUAACUCUCGGUGAGGACUGAAAAGCUCAGAGAGAAAGAGGCAGCACAAGAAGGGACUAGACACCAACAAGAUCUGUGAAAUGGAAAUGGAAAUAUUCAUUGUAUAGGGCUGUUGCUGAUUUCCUAAAACUGGAAGCACUACAUAGCGCUGUAGGGACCAUUGCAGUGUCAAUAACUGAAUGAUUGAAGAAAAAACAAACACUAGUUUUUAGAGUAUCGCUGAAACAGGCACCAAACAUUAGGCCAUUUACGCUGGGAUGACUGAAGAGUGGAACUAGAAGAACCCACACCUGCUGACUCCUUUCCAAGAAAUCACAAUUCAGGAAAUACCUUUAAAAUUCAAUGGUGAUAAAGUCAAGAUUCAAUAAAUGGG
RNAcentral lists this long non-coding RNA (457 nucleotides) under Urocitellus parryii (Arctic ground squirrel). RNAcentral's name for it is "lncRNA (ENSUPAG00010010687.1)". The record is from RNAcentral. Lineage: Eukaryota; Metazoa; Chordata; Mammalia; Rodentia; Sciuridae.